Callorhinus ursinus (northern fur seal) is the source of this 901-nucleotide non-coding RNA. The record is from RefSeq and is a predicted model, not a curated record. Lineage: Eukaryota; Metazoa; Chordata; Mammalia; Carnivora; Otariidae.
UUUUAAAUCUCGGCCUCUAAGAUCAACAAAAAUGAAAUGUCUCACUGAGGACUCAGACGUAGGAUUGCCUUCUCUGAAUUUUGAGUAGGUCUCACCUAAGAAUGUCUCUCUACGUUUGUACUAGCUGGGCGGAAGUUCGUUCUAGGAAACACCUUGGAACUGCCAUUUCUGACCUUUAUUCCUCUUCCGGAAACUUCGAGUUGGAGUCUAGGUUGGGUUGGCCUGAGUGGGGGAGUAGACGCCUCUGGGCGGUUCAGGGUCAGCACUGUUAGGUGGUUGAGACUCAAACGUGUGCUAAAGGAGUGGGACUUGUGGCAUUUGCUCAAAAGCUAAGACUCCCAGGAAGAGGAAAAUAAAAAGCAAUCUCUACACCCAGUGUGAGGCUUGAACUUGGGUCCUGGAGAUCAAGAGUCACAAGCUCUACUGACUGAGCCAGCUAGGCCUCUUGGUUCUAUUUCUGUUCCCUCCUGUCUCAGAUUUUAUUUUUAAGUAAUCUCUAUACCCAAGGUAGGGCUCAAACUUAACAACCCCGAGAUGAAGAGUCACAUGCUCUACCAACAGUGCCGGCAUGUUCUUCUUGAAGAAGAAAAUUCACUGUGUUUUCAGGAGUUGGAAGGAUCAUCAAUUUUAACAUUAAUCUCUACUAUGGGAUACUGAAGAAAAUGACGAACAAGAGACUGGUUUACGAAAAUAAAUGACCCUGGGUCAUAUCCUGAAAACGGUUUGAUUUCUUUAAAUAACCUGAUAUAAACUUGCUUUGUAAGCACCUACAACUCAGGACAAGACAAAGGAAGAUUCUAGUUAGUAAAGAAUUCCCUAGUGAACUGAGGAUUUAGUAGAGUUACAUCACUUCUAAAGAUUUUUAGUUUUAAAAACCCACAGAAAUAGAAGGAAAAGGAAC